AAUAACUUAGAAGAAUAAAGUUUUAGACCACUGUUUGGAUAAACAGCUUAAUUUGCAGCUUAUAGCAUAACCCCUUAUCAUGACAAGGGCUUAUGUAUAAGCUAUUUCUAUAACAAAGCUAUUUUCAUAAGCUAUCUUGGAGAACUUACAAAAAUAAGCUGAAAACAGCUUAUUACAUAACAUAAGCUGUUUUUAUAAGUUCUCGAAAACAGUCUCACAAAACUUAUCCCAGUAAAAAUCCCAAAUAAUCCAAUCCAAACAGACCCUAAGGGGUUGUUACUUGUUACUCUAGCAUACACCUCAAUUUCUAUCAGCUCUAAUAAUUUCCUAUCAAUAGUAUAGAAUGAAACCAUUACCAUAGCCAAGUUUUAAACUUUGAUUCAAUAAGUAUACAACAUUAACAUGAGAAAGUAGUAACACAGUAAAAAUCGAACUUUUUCAGUUGACAAACAACAACUGAUUGAAUCACUAACACGAGAAAACACACAAAAACCUAACCUAGGUGAGUUGAAAAAUUGAUUAAUCGCACAAUUAAUUGUUGCAUUAAUCAAAUUAAUAAAUUAAAUCAGAACAAUCACAAACCAAUUGCACAAAUCAAAUCAAAUACAUACAAUUGUAUAUAUUAUACUAAGUUAGGGUUUAUCGAAAAUCCCAAAAAGGGGUAAAUCUGGAGAGAGAAGCAGCGAUAGAAGGUUGAUGAAGAAGAAGGAGAGAGUACAGAGAAGAGAGGGAGGAGAUACCUUUGAAUCGCAGUGUGAUUGAAUCGUAGCGAUGAAAGUGUUUGUGAUUUGUUUAGGUUACUGAAGAAUAAGAACAAUAGUACUGGAAAUUUU
This 833-nucleotide long non-coding RNA is filed under the name Trifolium pratense (red clover). Its description in RNAcentral is "long non-coding RNA (TPRA_LNC002579)". Lineage: Eukaryota; Viridiplantae; Streptophyta; Magnoliopsida; Fabales; Fabaceae. The record is from RNAcentral.